RNAcentral lists this ribosomal RNA (1234 nucleotides) under metagenome. Its description in RNAcentral is "bacterial LSU rRNA". It matches the Rfam family "Bacterial large subunit ribosomal RNA", at positions 1564 to 2808 of the family's 2925-position model. The record is from RNAcentral.
UGAAUACGAGAUGCUACGGCGUCGAAGCAGUCUAUGUCAUACUUCCAAGAAAAGCUUGCACUGUCAUAAACAAAUAAUGCCUGUACCAUAACCGACACAGGUGGGUAGGUAGAGUAUACUAAGGGGCGCGAGAUAACUCUCUCUAAGGAACUCGGCAAAAUGACUCCGUAACUUCGGGAGAAGGAGUGCCUUAUUUAUAAGGUUGCAAUAACAAGAUCCAAGCAACUGUUUACCAAAAACACAGGUCUCCGCUAAGUCGUAAGACGAUGUAUGGGGGCUGACGCCUGCCCUGUGCCAGAAGGUUAAAGAAGUUGGUUAGCAUCCGCGAAGCUGAUAACUGAAGCCCUGGUGAACGGCGGCCGUAACGAUAACGGUCCUAAGGUAGCGAAAUUCCUUGUCGGGUAAGUUCCGACCCGCACGAAAGGCGUAAUGAUUUGGAUACUGUCUCGGAGAGGGGCUCGGUGAAAUAGACUUGUCUGUGAAGAUGCGGACUACCUGCACCAGGACAGAAAGACCCUAUGAAGCUUUACUGUAACCUGAAAUUGAAAUUGGACUUUACUUGCGCAGUAUAGGUGGGAGGCGUUGAGAAUAUUCUUGCGGGAUUAUUGGAGCCAUCAGUGAGAUACCACUCUUGUAAUGUUAGAUUUCUAACUUUGUAUCAUUAUCUGGUCAAAGAACAGUUUCAGGCGGGCAGUUUGACUGGGGCGGUCGCCUCCUAAACGGUAACGGAGGCGCACAAAGGUUUCCUCUGAACGGGUAGAAAUCGUAUCUAGAGUGUAAAGGCAUAAGGAAGCUUGACUGUGAGACCUACAAGUCGAGCAGGGACGAAAGUCGGUCUUAGUGAUCUGACGGUGCUGAGUGGAAAGGCCGUCACUCAACGGAUAAAAGUUACUCUAGGAUAACAGGCUGAUCUCCCCCAAGAGUUCACAUCGACGGGGAGGUUUGGCACCUCGAUGUCGGCUCAUCGCAUCCUGGGGCGGUAGUACGUCCCAAGGGUUGGGCUGUUCGCCCAUGAAAGCGGUACGCGAGCUGGGUUCAGAACGUCGUGAGACAGUUCGGUCCAUAUCCGGUGUAGGCGUUAGAAUAUUGAGAGGAGCCUUCUUUAGUACGAGAGGACCGAGAAGGACAUACCUCUGGUGUACCAGUUAUCGUGCCAACGGUAAACGCUGGGUAGCUAUGUGUGGAGUGGAUAACCGCUGAAAGCAUCUAAGUGGGAAGCCCACCUCAAGAUAAG